GUGCCCAGAUGGGAUUAGCUAGUAGGUGGGGUAACGGCUCACCUAGGCGACGAUCCCUAGCUGGUCUGAGAGGAUGACCAGCCACACUGGAACUGAGACACGGUCCAGACUCCUACGGGAGGCAGCAGUGGGGAAUAUUGCACAAUGGGCGCAAGCCUGAUGCAGCCAUGCCGCGUGUAUGAAGAAGGCCUUCGGGUUGUAAAGUACUUUCAGCGGGGAGGAAGGGAGUAAAGUUAAUACCUUUGCUCAUUGACGUUACCCGCAGAAGAAGCACCGGCUAACUCCGUGCCAGCAGCCGCGGUAAUACGGAGGGUGCAAGCGUUAAUCGGAAUUACUGGGCGUAAAGCGCACGCAGGCGGUUUGUUAAGUCAGAUGUGAAAUCCCCGGGCUCAACCUGGGAACUGCAUCUGAUACUGGCAAGCUUGAGUCUCGUAGAGGGGGGUAGAAUUCCAGGUGUAGCGGUGAAAUGCGUAGAGAUCUGGAGGAAUACCGGUGGCGAAGGCGGCCCCCUGGACGAAGACUGAC
Molecule: ribosomal RNA, 525 nt
Filed under: Escherichia coli
Lineage: Bacteria; Pseudomonadati; Pseudomonadota; Gammaproteobacteria; Enterobacterales; Enterobacteriaceae
Description: bacterial SSU rRNA
Rfam family: Bacterial small subunit ribosomal RNA
Source: RNAcentral